This 329-nucleotide ribosomal RNA is filed under the name uncultured eukaryote. RNAcentral's name for it is "partial 18S ribosomal RNA". It matches the Rfam family "Eukaryotic small subunit ribosomal RNA", at positions 1470 to 1796 of the family's 1831-position model. The record is from RNAcentral.
CCCUUAGAUGUUCUGGGCCGCACGCGCGCUACAAUGAUGAAUUCAACGAGUUUAUAACCUUGGUUGAAAAGCCUGGGUAAUCUUUUGAACUUUCGUCGUGAUGGGGCUAGACCCUUGCAAUUAUUGGUCUCCAACGAGGAAUUCCUAGUAAACGCAAGUCAUCAGCUUGCAUUGAUUACGUCCCGGCCCUUUGUACACACCGCCCGUCGCACCUACCGAUUGAAUGGUCCGGUGAAAUCUUCGGAUUGAGACUUUGAUUUCUUCACGGAAAACGCUGUUUUAAAAAGUUGAUUAAACCUUACCAUUUAGAGGAAGGUGAAGUCGUAACA